RNAcentral lists this ribosomal RNA (878 nucleotides) under uncultured Bacteroidota bacterium. RNAcentral describes it as "bacterial SSU rRNA". It matches the Rfam family "Bacterial small subunit ribosomal RNA", at positions 31 to 899 of the family's 1533-position model. The record is from RNAcentral. Lineage: Bacteria; Pseudomonadati; Bacteroidota.
GAACGCUAGCUACAGGCUUAACACAUGCAAGUCGAGCGGAAACGACAUCGAAAGCUUGCUUUUGAUGGGCGUCGACCGGCGCACGGGUGAGUAACGCGUAUCCAACCUGCCCAUCACUUGGGGAUAACCUUGCGAAAGUAAGACUAAUACCCAAUGAUAUCUCUAGAAGACAUCUGAAAGAGAUUAAAGAUUUAUCGGUGAUGGAUGGGGAUGCGUCUGAUUAGCUUGUUGGCGGGGUAACGGCCCACCAAGGCGACGAUCAGUAGGGGUUCUGAGAGGAAGGUCCCCCACAUUGGAACUGAGACACGGUCCAAACUCCUACGGGAGGCAGCAGUGAGGAAUAUUGGUCAAUGGACGAGAGUCUGAACCAGCCAAGUAGCGUGCAGGAUGACGGCCCUAUGGGUUGUAAACUGCUUUUAUAAGGGAAUAAAGUGAGCCUCGUGAGGCUUUUUGCAUGUACCUUAUGAAUAAGGACCGGCUAAUUCCGUGCCAGCAGCCGCGGUAAUACGGAAGGUCCGGGCGUUAUCCGGAUUUAUUGGGUUUAAAGGGAGCGUAGGCCGGAGAUUAAGCGUGUUGUGAAAUGUAGACGCUCAACGUCUGCACUGCAGCGCGAACUGGCUUCCUUGAGUACGCACAAAGUGGGCGGAAUUCGUGGUGUAGCGGUGAAAUGCUUAGAUAUCACGAAGAACUCCGAUUGCGAAGGCAGCUCACUGGAGCGCAACUGACGCUGAAGCUCGAAAGUGCGGGUAUCGAACAGGAUUAGAUACCCUGGUAGUCCGCACGGUAAACGAUGGAUGCCCGCUGUUGGUCUGAAUAGGUCAGCGGCCAAGCGAAAGCAUUAAGCAUCCCACCUGGGGAGUACGCCGGCAACGGUGCAA